GCAGAAAGCAAAAGUGUAGCUGCACUCACGGACUGUAGUUUAAAAUCUUCAAUUCUUUAUUGAUUCACAUUAAAAAGAUCUUUUAAUGUGAAUCAAUAAAGAAUUCAAGAUUUUAAACUACAGUCCGUGAGUGCAGCUACACUUCUGCUUUCUGC
Non-coding RNA from Pelobates cultripes (western spadefoot toad), 155 nucleotides. The record is from the annotation of a GenBank genome assembly. Lineage: Eukaryota; Metazoa; Chordata; Amphibia; Anura; Pelobatidae.